Molecule: ribosomal RNA, 387 nt
Filed under: uncultured bacterium
Lineage: Bacteria
Description: bacterial SSU rRNA
Rfam family: Bacterial small subunit ribosomal RNA
Source: RNAcentral
GACGAACGCUGGCGGCGUGCUUAACACAUGCAAGUCGAGCGGUAAGGCCCUUUCGGGGGUACACGAGCGGCGAACGGGUGAGUAACACGUGGGUGACCUGCCCUCAGCUCUGGGAUAAGCCUGGGAAACCGGGUCUAAUACCGGAUAUGACUCCAUGACGCAUGUUGUGGGGUGGAAAGCCUUGUGCGGCUGAGGAUGGGCCCGCGGCCUAUCAGCUUGUUGGUGGGGUGAUGGCCUACCAAGGCGACGACGGGUAGCCGGCCUGAGAGGGCGACCGGCCACACUGGGACUGAGACACGGCCCAGACUCCUACGGGAGGCAGCAGUGGGGAAUCUUGCGGAAUGGGCGAAAGCCUGACGCAGCGACGCCGCGUGAGGGAUGACGGCC